CCUGUAGCUCAGUUGGAUAGAGUGCAAGACUCCGACUCUUGAGGUCGCAGGUUCGAAUCCUGUCAGGCG
RNAcentral lists this transfer RNA (69 nucleotides) under uncultured Ruminococcus sp. It matches the Rfam family "tRNA". From Rfam's summary of the family: Transfer RNA (tRNA) molecules are approximately 80 nucleotides in length. Their secondary structure includes four short double-helical elements and three loops (D, anti-codon, and T loops). The record is from RNAcentral. Lineage: Bacteria; Bacillati; Bacillota; Clostridia; Eubacteriales; Oscillospiraceae.